This is a non-coding RNA of Schistosoma mattheei, 45 nucleotides long. Lineage: Eukaryota; Metazoa; Platyhelminthes; Trematoda; Strigeidida; Schistosomatidae. The record is from Rfam.
ACCCAACUGACGAGUCCCAGGCAGGACGAAAAGCGCAUCCUGGAU